GAUACGGGUUGACUUGAGGAAGGUAGGGGAGAAUGGAAUUCCUGGUGGAGCGGUGGAAUGCGCAGAUAUCAGGAGGAACACCAGUGGCGAAGGCGGUUCUCUGGGCCUUUCCUGACGCUGAGGAGCGAAAGCGUGGGGAGCGAACAGGCUUAGAUACCCUGGUAGUCCACGCUGUAAACGGUGGGUACUAGGUGUGGGGUCCAUUCCACGGGUUCCGCGCCGUAGCUAACGCUUUAAGUACCCCGCCUGGGGAGUACGGCCGCAAGGCUAAAACUCAAAGGAAUUGACGGGGCCCCGCACAAGCGGCGGAGCAUGCGGAUUAAUUCGAUGCAACGCGUAGAACCUUACCUGGGUUUGACAUGGAUCGGGAGUGCUCAGAGAUGGGUGUGCCUCUUUUGGGGUCGGUUCACAGGUGGUGCAUGGCUGUCGUCAGCUCGUGUCGUGAGAUGUUGGGUUAAGUCCCGCAACGAGCGCAACCCUUGUUCACUGUUGCCAGCACGUUAUGGUGGGGACUCAGUGGAGACCGCCGGGGUCAACUCGGAGGAAGGUGGGGAUGACGUCAAGUCAUCAUGCCCCUUAUGUCCAGGGCUUCACGCAUGCUACAAUGGCUGGUACAGAGAGUGGCGAGCCUGUGAGGGUGAGCGAAUCUCGGAAAGCCGGUCUCAGUUCGGAUUGGGGUCUGCAACUCGACCUCAUGAAGUCGGAGUCGCUAGUAAUCGCAGAUCAGCAACGCUGCGGUGAAUACGUUCCCGGGGCUUGUACACACCGCCCGUCAAGUCAUGAAAGUUGGUAACACCCGAAGCCGGUGGCCUAACCGUUGUGGGGGAGCCGUCGAAGGUGGGACUGGUGAUUAGGACUAAGUCGUAACAAGGUACCAAUCCCGCGG
This 886-nucleotide ribosomal RNA is filed under the name uncultured Actinomycetes bacterium. Its description in RNAcentral is "bacterial SSU rRNA". It matches the Rfam family "Bacterial small subunit ribosomal RNA", at positions 629 to 1510 of the family's 1533-position model. The record is from RNAcentral. Lineage: Bacteria; Bacillati; Actinomycetota; Actinomycetes.